Molecule: long non-coding RNA, 21892 nt
Filed under: Prunus persica (peach)
Lineage: Eukaryota; Viridiplantae; Streptophyta; Magnoliopsida; Rosales; Rosaceae
Description: long non-coding RNA (PPER_LNC001461)
Source: RNAcentral
AAGCCUUUGUUAAUUCCUUGGUAGUUUUUGCAGUUAAUAAAUUAGUAGAAGAUGGGUUAUCACAAUAAUCUUGAUAAGGUCCGUAAUAAGAGGGCCAAGUUUCCCUACACAAAGGAGCAGAUAAGGAACGUCUUCAAACGUCAUGACAAGAAUGGAGAUGGUCAACUUUCCAAAGAUGAGCUGGACGCAGCCUUCAAAGAACUUGGCUCGAUAUGGCCUCCUGGUAGAGCUUGGUUUGCUCAAAGGUAUGCAGAUGACGACGGCGAUGGCUUCAUUUCUAUAGACAAGGAGCUCAGCAAGCUCGUCCAGUAUGCCCUAGAAUUGAAGUAUACACUUAAGUAAUUAUAGUAUUAGUGGGUAACUAGUUCUUGUAUGUGCUUGCUAUAGAUAUAUUCUCAGCAAGCUCGUUGACUAUGCCCUCAAUUGAAGUUCUCUAUAUAAGUAAUCGUAGUGGUGGAGCUAAACUUGGUGUCUUAGUGACCACAACCACUUCAAGUCUAUAUGUAACUCCGUCUGUGUGUAAGCGUCUUUAAUUACUUGUAAGCAGCCGUAGUACCUAUAUAUGUGUGCAAGGUUGAAGGAACGAAAGAGGUGACCUUUUGUUUCCCUUCGUUACCAGGGAAGAUGAAUUUGAACCCUGAUUAUGUAUAAUAUAUAGUGAUUAACAAGAAUAAAGUAACAAACUUUGUGUAUUGAUAUCUAUUACGUAUACAUGUGUACGUAGGUGUGUCUAUAUAUUUAUAUAUGUACAUAUAUAUUGCAUUACAUACGUAUACAUACACAACUUACACUGAUAUUGUAUUACAUUCCCAAAUUCCUUCCCGGUCAAAAAGUCAACUUUUAUACUAAUAAAAUAUUCUAGGGGCAAAAUAGUCUUUUAUCUGAAUAAAUUAACAAUUAAAAAUUUAUUUAGGACUGGGUUGUUACAUAAACUCUUAUAAAUACCUCCUUAUGGAGAAGAAUAAAGUUAACCUAAUACAUUCAAACCAUAUUCAUAUUUUAGCACUAUGAAUGUUACCUUAUCGAGCAUGAGAUGUAUUUUGCUCACCCAGUAUCUCAUUCUCCUCAUCUAGGGGAGAGUAGCGUUGAAGAGUCGAAAUGGAUGGAGUUAUUUCAGGAUAAUAGUGAGGUUAAUUGGCUAGCCAUGUGUGACUUGACAACUAGUAACGAACCAAUCUGCACAGAACUGGCCAGUACCGCACUUGUGACUGAACCUACCAGUACCGUCGCACCCACAGCUUAUAACGUCUAUGCCGCCCCUCUCUCUACUACCUUUCUAGUACCCGGCCCCGAGUCUCCUCAUUCUAACAUUCUUGAGGUAAGUAUAUAAUCUUUGAUUAAUACUAACAAUGAUUGUGAAAUUAGUAAGUGUAGUGUGUAUCAGUUACCACCAAUGACUAAUCAUAGGAAGCCACCAUACGGAUAUUCACCAGAGCCUGCGACAUAGGUAAAGUAUCUUAUUUCUCAUUAUAUGUCUACUCAUAGAUUAUCUGAAGCUUGUCAGGCAUUUGUAAAUCAAAUGUCUAUGAUGACUAUUUCUAGUAAAGUACAAGAUGCAAUAUCUGAUUCAAAAUGGGCCAGUGCUAUGACUGAAGAGAUGCAAACUCUUGAGAAAGAUCAAACCUAGGAAUUGGUGCAACUGCCAGAAGGGAAGAAACCAGUUGGUUGCAGAUGUGUUAUAAAACACAAACCGGAUGGUUCUAUUGACAAGUAUAAAGCCAGACUUGUUGCCUGAGGUUUUUCCCAGACUUAUGAUAUUGAUUAACAUUUGCACCAAUGACUAAGAUCAAUACCAUUUGAGUUCGAUUAUCUUUAGCUGCAAACUUUAACUGGCCAUUGCAGCAAUAUGAUGUAAAAAAAUACCUUUUUACAUGGAGACUUACAAGAGGAAGUCUACAUGUCAUUGCCGCAAGGUUAUAAUGCUCAUACUGAUGCCAGUGUUCUGCGUAAAUUGAAGAAUACACUGUAUGGAUUGAAGCAGUCUCCGCGAACUUGGUUUAGGAGAUUGCGUCGUGCCAUGAAAAAAUAUGGUUAUGAGCAGAGCAACGCUCAUCAUACUUUAUUUCUUCAAAGGAAGAAUGGUAAGUUAACAGUUCUUAUUAUUAAUGCGGAUGAUAUGAUCGUGACUAGUGAUUGUCUUGAUGAAAUUGACAAAUUAAAAGGCUAUUUAGCUUCUGAGUUUGAUAUGAAGGAUCUCGGUGGAUUAAAAUAUUUUUUAGGUAUUGAGGUAACUUGUUCUGAACAUUGAAUUUUCUUGUCACAAAGAAAAUAUGUUCUUGUCACAAAGAAAAUAUGUUCUUGAUUUGCUAAAGGAAUCAGGUAUGCUUGGGUGUGAACCGAUUGGUACUCCUAUAGAACAAAAUCAUGGUUUGGAAGAAUAUCCAGAUCAAGUUCUAAGUGAUAAGGGACGAUAUCAAAGGUUGGUUGGUCGUUUGAUUUAUUUGUCUCAUACUAGACCUGAUAUUGCAUAUGCAGCAAGUGUUGUAAGUAGGUUCAUGCAUAAUCCAAGUCCAUGAUAUAUGGAUGCAGUAGUCUGAAUUUUGAGGUAUUUGAAAUUUGCACCAGGAAAAGGUAUGAUGUUCUUAAAGCAUGGGCAUGUAAAGGUUGUGGGGCAUACAUACUCAGACUGGGCAGGAAAGGAGGAUAAGAGGAGAUCGACAUUUGGUUAUUUCACGUUUGUUUAGGCGGUAACUUGGUUACUUUAUAGUCUAGGUGAUUGACCCCAAGCUUUUUGGAUGUUAGGUAUAUAUAGUUGGCUAUCGCGUUUAAGUACUUUUGGUUUCAGAGCGACACCCUUAUCCAUAUGGCAUCUACAACACAACAUAAAACAUAAGUUCUUUUCUUUUCAUAUCGGAUAUUGCUUUCGAGUUUCAUAUCCACCACGCUGUGUGUUAUCCCUAUGGCAUCUACGAUGGGGAUGCUUGUCCCAAUAGUCAUAGGCCAAAUCUCACCGAAAAGUCGAGCACUUUUUAGAAAGAAAGAAAGAAAGAAAGAAAAAGAAAAAAAAAAAAAAAAAAAAAAGGGUUUCACAAACCGAAAAGUUGAAUUAUUCAUUUCAACAAUUGGCAGAUGAAGUAUUUUUCUUAUCAACUUUACUACCAAAGAAAAGCUCACAAACCGUUUUAGACCAAACAAUUAAGCAUCUAUUAUCACUACUUGCAAGGUUCCAUGCUUUAUGUGCACGCAAAAUCUAGUCCAUAUAUCAUCCAUUGGAAUCAAGUAUUAUUUUUAAGGAGAGUGAUUGGCUCCUUGCCAAACUAUAUAUCAACAAAAUAUUAGCUAAAAUAUUGACAAUGUACCAUAUAUUGUAGAUAUGUUAGUACUCGAUACCAACAAAUUCUUUUCCAGAAUAAAGACCCAUGAGGCAUGUGACUUGAGGAAUAUUAGAAUACUUUUUUAAGGUCCAACAUGUGCGCAGGGGACCAGGCAGAAUCUUGUAUAAAUGGGAUUGAAUUCAUAGUGCAAGUCAUACAAGCCCUAGUUAAUUCCUUAUCCUUGGUAGUUUUGCAGUUAAUAAAUUAGAAGAAGAUGGUUUGGGAAACAAAAAGGUAUAAGGCCCCGAGCAAGGUUCCCUACACAAAGGAGCAGAUAAGGGACGUCUUCAAACGUCAUGAGACGAAUGGAGAUGGUCAACUUUCCAAAGAAGAGCUGGAUGCAGCCUUUGACGAACUUGGCGCGAAAUGGCCUCCUUUUAGAGCUUGGUUUGCUCGACGGUAUGCAGAUGACAACGGCGAUGGCUUCAUUUCUAUAGACAAGGAGCUCAGCAAGCUCGUCGAUUAUGCCCUAGAAUUGAAGUAUAUACUUCAUUAAUUAUAGUAUUUGUGGGUAACUAGUUCUUGUAUGUGCUUGCUAUAGAUAUAUUCUCAGCAAGUUCAUUGACUAUACCCUCAAUUCAAGCUUUCUAUAUAUGUAACUCUGUCCGUGUGUAAGCGUCUUUAAUUACUUAUAAGCCACCGUAGUUCCUAUAUAUGUGUGCAAGUUGAGGGAACAAAAGAGGUGAUCUUUUGUUUCCCCUUGUUACCAGGGAGGAUGAAUUUGAACCCUGAUUAUGUAUAAUAUAUAUAGUGAUUAACAAGAAUAAAGUAACAAACUUUGUGUAUUGAUAUCUAUUACAUAUAUAUAUAUGCGUACGUAGGUGUGUCUAUAUAUUUAUGUAUAUACAUAUAUAUUUUAUUACAUACGUAUACGUACACAACUUACACUGAUAAAAGCUCCGUGUUAUAGAGAUUACUGCAAUCCACUCAACACCACAUGUGGAAGCAUGGACAUUAGCAGAGUAACUUAAUAUGAUUCCAUACCAAUAUCUUGUUCAAGUGGCGUAGAGAUUUAAAUUUAAAAUCUUCAUAUAAGUAUAUCAAAAAAGAAAAAGAAGAAAAGAAAGAACUCUCACACAACUUUUCAUUGUUAUACACUCUUUUCCUAAGGGUGUACAUCCGUUCAAAACUAAUACAAUUUUACCAAUCUGCAUCUGAUUCAAUAUAUAGAUUGGAUUAUGAUUUUCUAAUCCAAUCCGAUCUCAUUAGAAGUAUAAAUCCAAUCCGAUCCAAUUAAAAUUGAAUUAGACUGGAUUGAAUGAUCAAUUUUUAUAAUGAAAAAUAGUAAUAACAAAAUAUAAAACAUUUAUCUUCAAGUUGAAUAUAAUCAAACAUUUCAGAACUUGGAGAGCACGAUGCCAUGCAGAUACCAACAGCAAAGACAGGUCCAUCCUCAACGUCAACGACCUUGUCAAAUAUGCCCUAAAACGUGGCUAUAAACUCUGAUUAACUCAGAAGCAGAUGAGGGGUUUUAGUCAACUAAUUAAUAUAAUAUAUAUGUGUAUAUGUGUGUAUGUAUGAGAGUUUUUAAUUACUUAUCUGCGAGUUCCAGCCAUAUAUACAUAUAUGUGUGUAUGCUAGAGAAGGAAGGAGGUGAGCUUUUGUUUCCCCCUCUUUGGCAAGGUUUGAUGAAUCAGAAUUAUGAUUUAUGUGGAAACUUUUGUAUUUCGCAAUGUGAUUUAAUAAUCAAAAAAAUUUAUAUUUAGAUAUCCUUUAUUAAGUAUCACCAAUUUAAUAUAAUUUUAUAAUUCACACCAACUAGCUUUUAAUAUAAUGAUAAUUGUCUCCACUUAAUUGAAUAAAGUUGCUACUCCGCUCCCUUCGCGGCCUCGGCAUCCCUGACAGCUUGGAUAGCAGCACCACCAAAUCUUGAUUUGAUUCAUAUGAAUACAACAUAACCUGCUUUGUAAACCUCGUAUGUAUAGUUUGAAGAGGAAAAGAAUUAUCAUCCAUACCAAAUCCAGAAAAACCAAAUUAUGUAUAUUAAAUGAGUUAGUAGUUACAAGGUCAAUAAUUUAUGGAGUAUAGGUGAUUGACCCCAACCUUUUUGGAUGUUGGGCAUAUAUAGCUAGCUGUCGCGUUGAAGUAGUUUUGGUUUCAGAGCGACACUCUUAUCCAUACAAUAUGUCGGUGUGCCGAUGAAAGAAUCUAUUGAUUUGUCCUCGCAAUGCAAGUGAAGGAUAAACGGCAAACUGUGUGAAUGUUUUUACUGUGAUCAGUAUGGUUGUAGAAACCAAAGCGAAGGCCUAGCUAGUUGACCCAAGUCAAGCAAAAGAAUCUAUUAGAAUUCUUCAUGUAGGACGUACGCAGGCUUAGUUUUUGUGCUUGCUGCUGAUUAGUCUGUGAUCAUGUAAUAUAAUGUCUCUGUGUAUGUACAUAUAUGCGUAUGUUAAUGAAUUAAUGACCAGUGAGCAGCCAUAGCUCUGUUUCAUAAAAUGGAUAAGCACAAAAUUUAGAAAAUAUGUGAAGGGCAUUAGUUAAUGGUUAUGUUGUUUUAUUGUUAAUGUCUAAUCUAUAUUUCAGUAAUACCAUGUGACACCAAAUGAGUUCUGUUACAAUCACCUUUUUCAUUUUCUUUUAUGAAAAAAAAGAAAAAGAAAAAAAAAACUUGAAACCAAAUGAGUUUGAUUCACAUGAAUUGCAUAAUGGGUAUAAGAUUGUCGCAAGUAAUUUGUUGAAGUGUUUCUCAUACAAUGACUCCAAAAUCAGAAGCCAAAAAGGGGAAGAAAAAUUAUGAAGCCAGAACCUGGCUUACCUGACGAAUCAGCAUCCAACGAGAGAAAAGUUGAAGCCGAUCGAGUUUAUGAUUUUCUUGGAGGACUUGAUUCACCGUAUGAUGGUGUCUAUAGCCGUAUUCUUACUCUUAGUCCUAUCCCGCCCCCUCUCGAAGCCUAUACCAUGGUCAUGGAGGAAGACACUCGUUAGUCUGCUAUGCUUAGAGGAGGUUCGAUGGCCCUCAAAGUCGACCCAGCCCGUCAAUGACCGGUCACUACCCAUCCAGAAAAUUUUCUUCUUCUGCUAGGCCUCGUUCUUCUGGAUCUAUCCCUAGCUCUCUUGAAGGUCCUCCUAAGUGUCGUCAUUGUAAUGGGAAUCACUAUUCUGAGAAGUGUUUUAAGGAGCAUGGUUAUCUUGAUUGGUUUGCUAACUACACGGCUCGUAUGUAUGGUCCUAAAGCCGCCUAUACUAUGACUCAAGAUGAGGCUCGUCCUCUGGCCCUUUCUACAAAUCUGUGUGCUUCUGAUACCAUGCCAUGUAUGGGUUCUAAUACUUGGAUAAUUGACACUGAUGCUUCUGAUCAUAUGACUUUUGAUAAUAAUAUGUUUGAUGAGUUGUCCCAUAACCCUCGUGACCCUUAUAUUACUAGUGCUAAUGGUUUACCUUCCCCAGUUAUUGGUGAAGGUACCAUCCAACUCGCUCAUUCUUUACCUCUAUCCCAUGCACUCUUGGUUCCAAAUAUUCGUUGCAAUUUGUUAUCUGUUGGGCGUUUACUUGAUACACUUAACGCGUCUGCUACUUUCUAUUCUACCUAUUGUUUUUCCAAGAUCUCAAAACUCACGAGAAGAUUAGGCAUAGUAAAUAGAUGGGGGGUUGUAUUACUUAUAGUUAUCAGUUGCAGCAGUUCGUGGUUGUGUCGCUAAUAAAGUUUAGAAUGGCAGUGUCAAAGACAAGCAACAACUUUGGUUGUGGCAUCGUCAUUUAGGACAUCCGUCCUUUGUUUAUCUUAAACAUUUGUUUUCUUCAUUAUUUAGUUUGUGUGAUGAGUCUAGCUUCAAAUAUGAAACUUGUGUAAUGGCCAAGAGCUACCGUAUUGUUUUUCCCUUGAGUAAUAAUAAAGCUGCAUUGCCUUUUGAGUUAGUACAUUCGGAUGUAUGGGGUCCUUCCCGUGUGACUUCUAAUGGUUUCCGUUGGUUUGUCACGUUUAUUGAUGACUGCACUCGCUUAACAUGGGUAUAUUUGAUGAAGCAUAAACAUGAUGUUGCCUCUAUUCUUCCUAUUUUUUGUGCUAUGGUGUCUACUCAGUUUCAUGCCAGUAUUAAAGUAUUUCGGACUGAUAAUGGAGGUGAAUAUGUGAAUCAUACCUUGACCCAUUUCGUCCGUGAUCAAGGUAUCAUCCACCAAACUACCACUCUAUUCACUCCUCAACAGAAUGGUAUGUCUGAACGUAAGAAUCGUCAGUUACUUGAAGUUGCUCGCUCCCUUAUGUUGGAUAUGUCUUUUCCCCAUCAUCUUUGUGGACACGGUGUCUUGGCCACUGCUCAUUUGAUUAACCGUACUCCUAGUCGGGUUCUUGAUUUCAAGACUCUGCUUGAUGUGUUAUGUACCCAUACUUCUCCAGUCUCGGUCUCUAAGUUACCUCCAAAGGUGUUGGGUGUGUUGCUUUUGUUCAUGUCUACUCUCAUUAACGGAGUAAACUGGACCUGUGUGCGCUUCGCUGUGUCUUCAUUGGCUAUUCUACCACUCAAAAGGGUUACAAGUGCUAUCACCCUCAUUCACAGAAAGUACAUGUUACUUUGGAUGUCAUCUUUCACGAAAAAGUAUCGUAUUAUGUCUCUUCCUCCUCUCUAAUUCAGGGGGAGAAGGGGAGUGAAUUGAAGAGUUUCGGAAUGGAAAAUCAUGGACGUAAAGAGGCAUGUGAAGGAAUUUCUGACCAAGUGCCAACGACCGGUCGUGUAAAGGAAGCAACCGGUCACCAAGUAAUCUGCCUGGAAUCGACCGGUCGAGCAGACGAUGACGACUAGUCGCAUGCCUAGAUGACUGAUGACUGCCAGGAAACGACGAUCGAUCGCUCAAAAGAUGACGAUCGGUCGCCUAUUGAAUUCUUUGAUGAAAUUUGCUCUUCGCCAAAAGAACGUGACAGUGAUACUGGUGACUCUUGUGAAGAUAAGAUCGAUAUAAGACCCCCAUCUGCUCUGCCACUGCCCCAAUCAACUCUUGAUAAUGAUGAAGUACUUUCUAAUGAUGUGUCUACUUAUUCAUUACCCCCACCCACUACUCGUGGUAAACCUAAAGUACAAUAUUCUAUUGAUAUACAUUCCAAAUCUAAAUAUCUCAUUAACCAUUAUGUGCCAACUCAUCGUCUAUCUAAGUCAUAUGCAUCAUAUUUGUGUCAAUUAUCUAGUGUUUGUAUGUCAACUAAGUUGCAUGAUGCUUUAUCUAAUCUAAAAUGGGUAGAUGCAAUGCAUGUUGAGAUGGAAGCCUUGAACAAGAAUGCCACUUGGGAGCUAGUUCCUUUACCAAAAGGAAAAAAGGCAGUUGGGUGCAGAUGAGUGUUUACUUUGAAGACAAUGCUGAUGGUUCCAUUGACCGUUACAAGGCAAGGUUGGUAGCAAAAAGUUAUACUCAGACUUAUGGAGUGGAUUACACAGCGACCUUUGCUCCAGUAGCAAAGCUCAAUACUGUGCGCGUACUCUUGACCUUGGUUGCUAAUCAUGAUUGGCCUAUGUUACAAUUCGAUGUCAAAAAUGCAUUCCUCCAUGGUGACCUCAAGAAAGAAAUAUACAUGGAUCCUCCGCCGAGUAUUCCUGUGACCUCUAAGGAGGGUAUGGUGUGCAAACUAUGGAAAUCCUUAUAUGGAUUAAAGCAGUCUCCAAGAGCUUGGUUUAGGAAGUUUGCUGCAUCUAUUAGGAAGUUUGGGUAUGUAUAAAGUAAUUCGAAUCAUACGUUGUUUCUGAAGGGUCGCAAAGGUAAAUUGACAGCUUUAAUAAUUUAUGUUGAUAAUAUAAUUGUAACUGGAGAUGAUCAUGCAGAAAUACACAGUCUCCAGAAAUAUCUGGCGUCUGAGUUUGAGAUGAAAUCAUUAGGUGACUUGAAGUAAUUUCUCGGGAUUGAAGUUGCUAAAUCUAAGCGUGGUAUUUUCCUGUUUCAAAGGAAGUAUAUUUUGGAUUUGCUUGCAGAAACUGGAAUGAUGGAUUGUAAACCAAUUGAUAAUCCUAGUGAACAAAAUCACAAGUUGGGGUUCUAUCCUGAUCAAGUUCCUACUGAUAAGGAGUGCUAUCAACAGCUCGUGGGGAAAUUAAUUUAUUUAGCUCAUACAUGUCCUGACAUUGCGUAUGCAGUGAGUGUAGUGAGUCAGUUUAUGCACUUGCCUAGUGAAGACCAUAUGGGAGCUGUGACGCGUAUUUUGAGAUAUCUCAAAGUAACUCCUGGCAAUGGGUUAAUGUUUUCAAAGUAUGGUCAUAUAGAUGUGGAAGGAUACACAGAUGCUAAUUAGGCAAGUUUAGCUAUUGAUAGGCGUUCUACGUCUGGGUAUUUUACGUUUGUUGGUGGUAAUCUUGUUACUUGGAGAAGCAAGAAACAAAAUGUGGUGUCUUGUUCUAGUGAUGAGGCUGAGUAUCGUUGGAUGGCCCAUGACGUAUGUGAGUUACUGUGGUUGAGGAGAUUAUUGAGAGAUCUUGGCUUUGGACCUAAGAAACCUAUGGAUUUAUAUUGUAACAAUAAGGCUGCGAUUGCAAUUGCUCAUAAUCAUGUACAACAUGAUCGUACAAAGCAUGUGGAGGUUGAUCGAAAUUUCAUUAAAGAGAAGUUCGAUGCGGAGAUUGUUUCCUUCCCAUUCAUCAGUUCUGAGUAUCAGUUAGCUGAUGUCCUUACGAAAGCUGUUUCUACAAGUAUCUUCCUCAACUCGCUUGACAAGUUAGGCAUGUGUGACGUCUUUGCUCCAACUUGAGAGGGAGUGUUGGCGAGAUAUCCUAACCCUAUUAGGAUAUUUCCUUCUUAUUCUAAUAGGAUUUUAUUUAUUUCUUUUUGUAUAGAUAUUACGUAAUUAGGACUUUUCUUAUUUCCUAGUAUAACCCUAUUAGAGUUUGUAACCUUGUAUUAUAAAUACCUCCUUUCGAAAAAUGAAAUACAUAUAAAAAAUAUUAUACCUAUAUUGUUUGACUAAGAUGAUGCAAGGGUUGAGUCUGAUAAUACGCAGGGUAGAAGAUGAAGAGGCGAGAGAACAUGUUUGUGUCAAACAUGUAUUUUAAUAAUUUUUUUUAAUAAAAAAAAAUGAAUUGAAGAGUUAACAGAGUUAAAAUGUUGUUAAAUAGUGUGCCACAUGUUACAAAAUCAAGGAGGAAAUGGGGACACAGAGAAUUUGGUAACAGAAAAAUUCAACUUGUAAGAGUAGCACUAGUUUAUAGUCCAUAGGUGAUUGACCCCAACCUUUUUGGAUGUUAGGCAUAUAUAGAUAGCUAUCGCGUUUAAGUACUAUUGGUUUCAGAGCGACACCCUUAUCCAUAUGGCAUCUACAACACAACAUAAAACAUAUGUUCUUUUCUUUUCAUAUCGGAUAUGGCUUUCGAGUUUCAUAUCCACCACGCUGUGUGUUAUCCAUAUGGCAUCUACAAUUGGGAUGCUUGUCCCAACAGUCAUACGCCAAAUCUCACAUAAUGAAUCUCGAUCCAACUUAAAGAGUAUAAGAUGGAGAUCUCAAGUACUCUUGAGUCUGAUAAUUAUAUUUCCAACGUUAAUUUAGGGGUUUUAGUACUUAUGAUUAAUAAUUUAUAGUUAAAAUGUUUUUAUAUGUUAUAUUAAAAUACUAUGUGCAAAGGAUUCACUAGUGUAGUGGUUUAAAGCAAUUUCUCUUUCAGACAACGUUAUAGGUUCGAAUUCUAAUAUCUGCUAGAAAGAAAGAAAGAAAAAGGUUUCACUCACAAACCGAAAAGUUGAAUUAUUCCUUUCAACAAUUGGCAGAUGAAGCAUUUUACUGUUAUCAACUUUACUACCAAAGAAAAGCUCACAAACCGCUUUUGACCAAACAAUUAAGCAUCUAUUAUCACUACUUGCAAAGUUCCAUGCUUUAUGUGCACGCAAAAUCUAGUCCAUAUAUAUGACUCGAUUUUUUUUAAAUAAUCAACUGUAGUUUACCAAUUUCAUCUGCGGAAAUUACAAGAGGCAACACUUAGAACAAGAGAAACCUAACUCAAAAACAAGAAGAACAAGAAUUUGUUUGAUAUUUCAUCCAUUGGAAUCAAGUAUUAUUUUUAAGGAGAGUGAUCGGAUCGAUGCCAAACUAUAGUAAGUAUAUAUCAACAAAAUACCAAACUGGAGUAUCAAGAAAAUAUUGAAUAAAAUAUCAAUAAUGUAUCAUAUACUGUAAAUAAAUUGGUACCCGAUACCAACAAAUUCUUUCCCAAAAUAGAGACCCUUGAGGCAUGUGACUUGAAGAAUAUUAGAAUACUUUUGGAGGUCCAACAUGUGCGCAGGGGAUCAGGCAGAGCCCUAUAUAAAUGGGCUCCCUCAUAGUGUACAAGUCACCCAAUUCAAGCCUUUGUUAAUUCCUUGGUAGUUUUUGCAGUUAAUAAAUUAGUAGAAGAUGGGUUAUCACAAUAAUCUUGAUAAGGUCCGUAAUAAGAGGGCCAAGUUUCCCUACACAAAGGAGCAGAUAAGGAACGUCUUCAAACGUCAUGACAAGAAUGGAGAUGGUCAACUUUCCAAAGAUGAGCUGGACGCAGCCUUCAAAGAACUUGGCUCGAUAUGGCCUCCUGGUAGAGCUUGGUUUGCUCAAAGGUAUGCAGAUGACGACGGCGAUGGCUUCAUUUCUAUAGACAAGGAGCUCAGCAAGCUCGUCCAGUAUGCCCUAGAAUUGAAGUAUACACUUAAGUAAUUAUAGUAUUAGUGGGUAACUAGUUCUUGUAUGUGCUUGCUAUAGAUAUAUUCUCAGCAAGCUCGUUGACUAUGCCCUCAAUUGAAGUUCUCUAUAUAAGUAAUCGUAGUGGUGGAGCUAAACUUGGUGUCUUAGUGACCACAACCACUUCAAGUCUAUAUGUAACUCCGUCUGUGUGUAAGCGUCUUUAAUUACUUGUAAGCAGCCGUAGUACCUAUAUAUGUGUGCAAGGUUGAAGGAACGAAAGAGGUGACCUUUUGUUUCCCUUCGUUACCAGGGAAGAUGAAUUUGAACCCUGAUUAUGUAUAAUAUAUAGUGAUUAACAAGAAUAAAGUAACAAACUUUGUGUAUUGGUAUCUAUUACGUAUAUAUGUGUACGUAGUUGUGAACUUGUGUCUAUAUAUUUAUGUAUGUACAUAUAUAUUGUAUUACAUACGUACACAUGCACAACUUACACUAAUAAAAGCGCCAUGUUAUAGAGAUUACUACAAUCCACUUAACACCACAUGUGGAAACAUGGACAUGACCAGAGCAACUUAAUAUGAUUCCAUAUCAAUAUCUUGCCUUUUGUUUUGGUACAUUCUGAUGUUUGGGGCCUACUCCAAUUACUAGUACUUCUGGCUUCCGUUGAUUUGUUAUUUUGUGGAUGAUUGCACUCGCAUAUCAUGGUUGUACCUGAUGCAAAAUAAGAGUGAUGUUUUUGCUUGCUUUCGAACUUUUCACCAGAUGAUUAAAAAUCAAUUUUCUGCUACUUUAAAGGUGCUUCUUUCAGAUAAUGGUGGUGAACAAUUUUGAUGAUUCUUCCCUUCAUCCACACCAUUCUUACACAGUUAUUUUCAGAAACAUGGAAUUCUACAUGAGACUACUUGUCCUUACACACCUCAGCAGAAUGGUGUGGAUGAAGGGAAGAAUCAUCAAAAUUGUGAAAUUACUCAUGCUAGUCUUAUAGGUGCCCAUAUGACCCCAUAAUUCUAGGAGGAGGUGAUCACCUAUACAGUCUAUCUUCUUAAUAUUGUGUUCCUGCUAGUGUCCUGUAGUUUAAGACACCAUUGGACAAAUUUGAGGCUUAUGUUUCCUUCCUAUCUCAUAUCACUCUUCUGUCACAUCUCGGGAUCGGCUCCGUCAUAGCACGAUAUUGUCCGCUUUGGGCCCCCUUUCUGCCCUCACAGUUUUGUUUCUAUGAAUCACGAGCAACUUCCCAGUGAGUCACCCAUCCUGGGAUUGAUUUAGCCCCAACUCGCUUAACUUCAGAGUUCCCAUGACUCUGAAGCCAGUGAGCUCUCAAAAGGCCUCGUGCUAGAUGGAGGAGGGCAUGUACAUAUAAGGCACAUCACCCCCUCUCCGUUGGUCGAUGUGGGAUGUUACACUUCUACCUUGUGUUUUUAGAUGCGUUGCUUUUGUGCACUUGCACAAACAUCAACAUACGAAAUUCGAUCAGUGUGCUGUGAAGUGUGUGUUUAUUGGUUAUCACCCCCAUCAGAAGGGUUAUCGGUACUUUCAUCUACCGAGUCAACAUUUUUAUGUUACUAUGAAUGUUACGCUUUCCAAGCAUGAGAUGUAUUUUGCUAAACCAGUAUCUCAUUCUCCUCUUAUGGGGGAGAGUAGCGUUGAAGAGUCAAAAUGGAUGAGUUAUUUCAGGAUAAUAAUGAGGUUAAUUGGUAGCCAUGCGUGACUUGACAGCUAGUAACGAACCAACCUGCACAGUACCAACCAGUACCGCACCUGCGACUGAACCUACCUGCACAUUCGCACCCACAGCCGAUAACGUCUGUGCUGCCCCUCUCUCUACUACUUUUCCAGUACCGGCCCUAAGUCUCCUCAUGCUGACAUUCUUGAGGUAAGAAUAGAAUCUUUAAUUAACACUAACAAGGAUUGUGAAAUUAUUGAGCGUAGUGAGUAUCAGUUACCAACAAUGAGUAAUUGUGGGAAGCCACCAUAUGGAUAUUCACCAGAGCCUGCGACAAAGGUAAAGUAUUUUAUUUCUCAUUAUAUGUCUACUCACAGAUUAUCUGAAGCUUGUCAGGCAUUUGUAAAUCAAAUGUCUACUGUGGCUAUUUAUAGUAAAGUACAAGAUGCAUUGUCUGAUUCAAAAUGGGCUAUUGCUAUGAUUGAAGAGAUCCAAACUCUUGAGAAAAAUCAAACCUAGGAAUUGGUGCAACAGCCAUAAGGGAAGAAACCAGUUGGUUGCAGAUGUAUUAUACCAUAAAACACAAACCGGAUGGUUCUAUUGACAAGUAUAAAGCCAGACUUGUUGCCCAGAGUUUUACCCAAACUUAUGGUAUUGAUUAUCAAGAGACAUUUGCACAUGUGGCUAAGAUCAAUACCAUUCGAGUUCUACUAUCUUUAGCUACAAACUUUAACUGACCAUUGCAGCAAUAUGAUGUAAAAAAUGUCUUUUUACAUGGAGACUUACAGGAGGAAGUCUACAUGUCAUUGUCACCAGGUUAUAAUGCUCCUACUGAUGCCAGUGUUCUGUGUAAAUUAAAGAAUGCACUGUAUGGAUUGAAGCAGUCUUUGCAAGCUUGGUUUAGGAGAUUGCGCCGUGCCAUGAAAAAUAUGGUCAUGAGCAGAGCAAUGCUCGUCAUACUUUAUUUCUUAAAAGGAAGAAUGGUAAGUUAACAGCUCUUAUUAUUUAUGCGGAUGAUAUGAUCGUGACUGGUGAUGAUCUUGAUGAAAUUGGCAAAUUAAAAGGCUAUUUCGCUUCUGAAUUUGAUAUGAAGGAUCUCGGUGGAUUAAAAUAUUUUCUGGAUAUUGAGGUAACUCAUUCUGAAUAUGGAAUUUUCUUGUCACAAAGAAAAUAUGUUCUUGAUUUGCUAAAGGAAACAGGUAUGCUUGGGUGUGAACCGAUUGGUACUCCUAUAGAACAAAAUCAUGGUUUGGAAGAAUAUCCAAAUCAAGUUCCAACUGAUAAAGGACGAUAUCAAAGGUUGGUUGGUCGGUUGAUUUAUUUGUCUCACACUUGACCUAAUAUUGCAUAUGCAGUAAGUGUUGUAAGUAGGUUCAUGCAUAAUCCAAGUUUACGAUAUAUGGAUGCAGUAGUCCAAAUUUUGAGGUAUUUGAAGUCUGCACUAGGAAAAGGUCUGAUGUUCUUAAAGCAUGGCAUGUAAAGGUUGUGGGGUAUACGGACUUAGACUCGGCAGGGAAUGGGGAUAAGAGGAGAUAGACAUUUGGUUAUUUCACGUUUGUUUAGGCGGUCACUUGGUUACUUGGAAGAGUAAAAAGCUGAAGGUUGUCUAUUUGUUGAGUCCAGAUGUCGAGUAUCGGGCUAUGGUGAAAGGUGUUUGUGAAGUGCUAUGGUUAAAAAGGCUUAUGGGGGAGCUAGGUUUUCCUACUGAGAAUACUAUGAAGUUGUAUUGUGAUAAUCAGUCAGCAAUUAAGAUUGCUGAAAAUCCAGUUCAACAUGAUAGAAUGAAACAUGUAGAGAUUGAUCGAAACUUUAUUUAUGAGGAAUUGGAAGAGAAGAUUAUUGAAGUUCCAUAUGUUAAGACUACUGAACAAUUGGCAAAUAUGUUGACCAAGGUUGUAUCAAAUCAAGCCUUUACAGAUUCACUUACCAAGCUAGGUAUCUGCGACAUCUAUGCACCAUCUUGGGGGGAGUGUUGGCUUGAAUCACAAUAGGAAUUAUAGACAAUUACCUUUAUUAUAUUGAUUUGUAAUUAUAGGAAUACCGGUUUGACCUGGAUUGUAUUUAUUCCUUUUUCCUUAUUGUAAUUAGUUACUAGAUAGACUUGUAUUUGUAUCACUAUAAAUACCUCAUUGUGAGAAGAAUAGAAACAUACUGAAUCAUUCGUAACCCUAAAUUCUAUUUGAAUGGUGUUAGCAGCAGCCAAAAAGGGGAAAAAUUUAUGAAGCGAUUUUCCUUCCAAUGGUGAUUGUGAAUUGAGUCGAGUGAGAGAGAAAGACUUAAGAGGCUGAAAGAAUUGACAAAAGCUCGUGAAUCAUCUGCUCGGCAUUGGCACUGGCUGGUUUUCAUGUAAAUUUGCAGUAUGCAAGUUCUGUUCAAAUCACAUUUUUCAUUGUCUUUUAUGGAAAAAAAAACUGAAACCAAAUGAGUUUGAUUCACAUGAAUUGCAUAAUCGGUAUAUGAUUGUCGCAAGUUAUUUGUUGAAGUGUUUCUCAUACGAUGGCUCCAAAAAAGUGGAGAAAAAUUAUGAAGCAAAACCUAGCUUACCCAACGAACCAGCUUCGAAUGAGCGAAAAAAUUUAUCGAACCAGAUACAGGGGCUAAGUUUUGCAUGGCAGAGAUGAUGCAAGGGUUGAGUCUGAUGAUACGUAGGGUAGAAGAUGAGGAGACGAGAGAACAUGUUUGUGUCAAACGCGUAUUUUAAUAAUUUUUUUUAAAAUAAAAAGAAAUGGGUUGAAGAGUUAAUAGAAUUAAAAUGUUGUUAAAUGGUGUGCCGUGUGUCACAAAACCAAUGAAGAAAUAAAGAGGCACAAGAGAUUUGGUAAGAGGAAAAUUGGACUCGUAAGAGUAACACUAAUUUAUAGAGUGGGUGAUUGACCCCAAGCUUUUUGGAUGUCAGGCAUAUAUAGCUAGCUAUCGCGAAGUACUUUUGGUUUCAGAGCUACCGUCUUAUCCAUAUGGCAUCUACAAACAUACAGCAUAUGUCGGUGUGCCGAUCAAAGAAUAUAUAAAGCAUUUUACUGUGAUCCAUUAUACGCUUUCGUCACGUGUAGUGAUCCAUUAUAUUGUUGGAUAUUGCUAUUGGUUUCGGUUUUUUGAAUGAACCAUAAUCUUAAUCUUACACUGCAAGUCCAAACCUUAUCUCUUGUAGUGUUUCAGGCACCCCUUUCUUGUAGUGUUCUUGUGGUGGUUCUGUUCAAAAUGUUGUCCACCCAAAACCUUUGCAUACUUUACAGAAAAAUUACCCCACAUAUCGGAUAUUGCUUUCCAGUUUCAAAUCCACCACGCUGUGUGUUAUUCAUAGGGCAUCUACAAUGGGGUAUGCUUGUCCCAAUAGUCAUAAGCCAAAUCUCACAUAAUGAAUCUCGAUCCAACUUAAAGAGUAUAAGAUGGAGAUCUCAAGUACUCUGAGUCUAAGAAUUAUAUUUCCAACAUGAAUUUAGGGGUUUUAAUACUUAUGAUUAUUUUAUAGUUAAAAUGAUUUUAUAUGUUAUAUUAAAACACUACGUGCAAAGGAUCCACUAAUGUAGUGGUUUAGAGCAAUUGUUCUCUCAGACAACGUCAUGAGUUCGAGUCCUAGCAUCUGUGUAGUUGAAUUAUCCCUUACAAACCGAAAAGUUGGGCACCUUUCAGAAAGAAAGAAGAAAAAAAGGUUUCACAAACCGAAAAGCUGAAUUAUUCCUUUCAACAAUUGGCAGAUGAAGCAUUUUACUGUUAUCAACUUUACUACCAAAGAAAAGCUCACAAACCGUUUUAGACCAAACAAUUAAGCAUCUAUUAUCACUACUUGCAAAGUUCCAUGCUUUAUGUGCACGCAAAAUCUAGUCCAUAUAUGCUACUCGAUUUUUUUUAAUAAUCAACUGUAGUUUACCAAGAAUUUGUUUGAUAUUUCAUCCAUUGGAAUCAAGUAUUAUUUUUUAGGAGAGUGAUCCGCUCGUUGCCAAAGUAUAUAUCAACAAAAUAUUAGGUAAAAUAUUGACAAUGUACCAUAUACUGUAGAUAUGUUAGUACUCGAUACCAACAAAUUCUUUUCCAGAAUAAAGACCCAUGAGGCAUGUGACUUGAAGAAUAUUAGAAUACUUUUUUAAGGUCCAACAUGCGCGCAGGGAACCAGGCAGAGCCCUAUAUAAAUGGGAUUGAAUUCAUAGUGCAAGUCAUUCAAGCCCUGGUUAAUUCCUUAUCCUUGGUAGUUUUGCAGUUAAUAAAUUAGAAGAAGAUGGUUUGGGAAACAAAUAGGUAUAAGGCCCCGAGCAAGGUUCCCUACGCAAAGGAGCAGAUAAGGGACGUCUUCAAACGUCAUGACAAGAAUGGAGAUGGUCAACUUUCCAAAGAAGAGCUGGACGCAGCCUUUGACGAACUUGGCGCGAAAUGGCCUCCUUUUAGAGCUUGGUUUGCUCGACAGUAUGCAGAUGACAACGGCGAUGGCUUCAUUUCUAUAGACAAGGAGCUCAGCAAGCUCGUCCAGUAUGCCCUAGAAUUGAAGUAUAUACUUCAUUAAUUAUAGUAUUAAUUAGUGGGUAACUAGUUCUUGUAUGUACUUGCUAUAGAUAUAUUCUCAGCAAGCUCAUUGACUAUACCCUCAAUUAAAGCUCUCUCUAUAUAUGUAAUCGUAGUGAUGGAGCUAGACUUGGUAUCUUAGUGGCCACAACCACUUCAAGUUUGUAUGUAACUCCGUCCGUGUGUAAGCGUCUUUAAUUACUUGUAAGCAGCCGUAGUACCUAUAUAUGUGUGCAAGGUUGAAGGAACGAAAGAGGUGACCUUUUUUUUCCCUUCGUUACCAGGGAAGAUGAAGAACCCUGAUUAUGUAUAAUAUAUAGUGAUUAACAAGAAUAAAGUAACAAACUUUGUGUAUUGAUAUCUAUUACAUAUAUAUGUGUAUGUAGGUGUGUCUAUAUAUUUAUAUAUGUACACAUAUAUUGUAUUACAUACGUAUACAUACACAACUUACACUGAUAAAAGCUCCAUGUUAUAGAGAUUACUACAAUAUUCCACUCAACACCACAUUUGGAAGCGUGGACAUGAGCAGAGCAACUUAAUAUGAUUCCAUAUCAAUAUCUUGUUCAAGUGGCAUGCAGAUUUAAAUUUAAAAUCUUCAUAUAAGUAUAUCAAAAAAGAAAAAGAAAAAAAGAAAGAACUUUCACCCAACUUUUCAUUGUUACACUCUUUUCUAUAUAAUUAUUUUCUAGGAGUGUACAUCGGUUCGAAACUAAUACAAUUGUAUAAAUCCGCAUUCGAUCUAAUAUAGAUUGGAUUAUAAUUUUCUAAUCCAAUCCGAUCACAUUAGAGAGAUAUAAAUCCAAUCCGAUUUGAUCCAAUUUAUAUUGGAUUAGACUAGAUUGGAUGAUCGGUUUUCAUAAUGGAAAAAGAUAAUAACGAAAUAUGAAACAUUUAUCUUCAAGUUUAAUAUAAUAAAACACUUUAAUAGAAUGUAAAUUUAAAAUAUCAAUGAAAUGCUAGAGAAAAUUAUUCUGAUUUUAUAAUAUAUCAAACAUAACUUCAUCAAAUUACUUAAAAUAUUUAUAACUUUCUAAAUGAAAAUUGCCUAAUAAGCAAAAUGAGGAAAUCCGUCAUCUGAUCUGAUCAUAUGUUGGUGUUGGAAAUUAGGAAUCCAAUCCACUCCGCCAAAUCAUUGAAACAUAUUAAAGUUGAAUUGGAUUGGUCGGUUUAGGGGAAUUAAAUUGGAUCUUGCACACCCCUACUGUUUCCUUUGGUGAGCAUUUACAUUAUACGUCACAAUCUCUUAAAACAUAGCACAACAAAAUGAAUAUAAUGUUUUCAAUAAAACAACGAAAUAUUCGUGAGGAUAAUCAAAUGGUCAAAUGAUUUCAAAUUUGUUGAUUUUCUUAAAUGGAGAUUGAAAAAUUAGACAGUUCAUAUCCUUAAACCACAUGUGGAAGUGCCCAAAAAAGUAAUUAUUUCAUGCAUAUUAUCUACAAAGAGUUCAAUUUGUAAAUAAAUUUUAAUUUUUUUUAUACAAGCGAUGUCUAAAUUAUUCUAAAUUAAUUAAAUUUAUGAGAAGGGAGGUUCGAACUUAGGUGCAAGGAGGCGCGCUCACUUUACUGACCAAUUUGCAUAAUCCACAUCUACAAAUCAUUCUUAUUAAUAAAUUAAAGAAUUAUGAUAUAUGUACACACAUAUAUACACGUUGCUUAACCAAUAAAUGAAAUGGAUGAAAAAUGUUACUCCUUUUUUUCUUUAAUGAAGAAAAAUGUUACAAUUUAUAAAUGGAUAAAGUCACACACACCAAAUACCAAGUCACAUAAGUUAGGGGCAAAAAGGCAGACAUUUCAACUGGCAUGGAGGUCCCGAUGUUACACUUAUGUUUAUUUAUUAAUAUUAUACUCUAGACUCAUAAAAUAUAUAUAUAUAUAUAUGUGACAGAAAUGAUGUUCUAAAUUACUCCAGCUACAGAUAGGCAGGUUGGAAUUCGAGUUCAAAUUAAAGUUUCUCCACCCAUAUUAAUAGCAUAUCAAGACAUUGUACACCCAAAACCUUUUCAUAAUUUACAAGAAAAUCACACCCCUCCCCCAAUCUAUUUGGAUAUGAAGGCUAUCGCUGUCGAGUUUGAUAUCCAUGCUGUGUUAUCCAUAUGACAUCUAUCUACAAUGGGGGUCACUGUGAAAAAAAUAGCAACAGUCACUAUUAUUUGGUGAUUAAAAUUUAGUCACCCCUAAUUAGUCACUAAAUAUCACCUGGUAAUUGUUACUCUUUUUUUUUUUCUUUUUGUAGCGGGUGAUUGUCCAAUAGUCAUAGGCCAAAUCUCACAUAUAAUUGUUCCCAAUAGUCUUCGGUUUGAUUCUUAUAAGGACAAACCAUGUGGCCUUCGUGUUUGUAUAUAUGCCUUUGGUCUGAGGAUUCUAUUUCCAACAUGAAUUUAGGGAUUUUAAUUCUUAUUGUUAAAAAAUGCUUCACCACGUUGGCCGGCGGAAAAGUUGAAUUAUAGAAAGAAUAAAAACACAAACGGAAAAGUUGAAUUAUUCCUUUCGAUCACUGUCCAUAACAACACUGGCAGAUGAAGUAUUUUUACUAUUAUCGCUUGCAAAAUUCCAUGCUUUAUUUGCACGCACAAAUCUGGUCCAUAUACAAACUAGAAAAUGAUCAAGUACAACAUGCAACACUUAGAACAAGAGAACAUAACUCAAAAACAAGAAGAACAAGAAUUUGUUAGAUAUUCAUCCAUGGAAAUCAAGUAUUAUUUUUAAGGAGAGUGAUCGGCUCAAUUCCAAACUAUAUAUCAACAAAUUAUUAGCUAAAAUAUCGACAAUGUACCAUAUACUAGUAUUGCAUACAUGUUAGUACUCGAUACCAACAAAUUAUUUUCCAAAAUUAAGACCCCUGAGGUAUGUGACUUGAAGAAUAUUAGUUAGAAUACUUUUUUAUGGUCCAACAUAUGCCCAGGGGACCAGGCAGAGUCCUAUAUAAAUGGGAUUGAAUUCAUAGUGCAAGUCAUUCAAGCCCUAGUUAAUUCCUUAUCCUUGUUAGUUUUGCAGUUAAUAAAUUAGAAGAAGAUGGUUUUCGAUACAAAUUAUAAGGUCCCGAACAACGUUCCCUACACCGAGCAGCAGAUAAUGAAUGUCUUCAAAAGUCAUGACAAGAAUGGAGAUGCUCAACUUUCCAAAGAGGAGCUGAAAGAAGCCUUCAAAGAACUUGGCUCGAAAUGUCCUCCUUUAAGAGCUUGGUUUGCUAAAAAUUAUGCAGAUGACAACCGCGAUGGCUUCAUUUCUAUAGACAAGGAGCUCAGCAAGCUCGUCAAGUAUGUCCUAAAAUUGAACUAUACACUUCAUUAAUUAUAGUAUUAGUGGGUAACUAGUUCUCAGCAAGCUCGUUGACUAUGCUGUCAACUGAAGCUCUAUAUAUGUGUGUGGAUAUAUAAACAUAGUGGCGGAGCUAGACUUGGCAUCUUGGGGGGUUGCAAUCACUUCAAGCUUAUAUAUGACUCCGUUCGUGUGUAAGCAUAUGUAAUUACUUGUAAUUCGUAUUACCUAUGUUACUAUGUAUGUGUGCAGGGUAGAGGAAACGAAGGAGAUGACCUUUCGGUACCUCUCGUUUCCGGGAAAGAUGAAUUUGAACCCUGAUUAUGUAUAAUAUAUAGUGAUUAACAAAAAUAAAGUAACAAACUUUGUGUAGUGACAUCUAUUAGGUAUAUGUAUGUGUGUCUAAUAUAUUAUAGUACAUACGUAUAUACGUACACAACUCACACUGAUAAAGUUCCAUGUUAUGGAGAUUAUUACAAUCCACUCACCACCACAUGUGGAAAGAUUGUGAUAUGAGCAGAUCUAGAGCAAUUUCACAUGCAUCCAUAUCAAUAUCUUGCUCAAGUAGCAUAGAGAUUUAAAUUUAAAUCCUCAUAAGUAUAUCCAAAAAAAG